GGAAUCUUGCGCAAUGGGCGAAAGCCUGACGCAGCCAUGCCGCGUGAAUGAUGAAGGUCUUAGGAUUGUAAAAUUCUUUCACCGGGGACGAUAAUGACGGUACCCGGAGAAGAAGCCCCGGCUAACUUCGUGCCAGCAGCCGCGGUAAUACGAAGGGGGCUAGCGUUGCUCGGAAUUACUGGGCGUAAAGGGCGCGUAGGCGGACAUUUAAGUCAGGGGUGAAAUCCCAGAGCUCAACUCUGGAACUGCCUUUGAUACUGGGUGUCUUGAGUGUGAUAGAGGUAUGUGGAACUCCGAGUGUAGAGGUGAAAUUCGUAGAUAUUCGGAAGAACACCAGUGGCGAAGGCGACAUACUGGAUCAUUACUGACGCUGAGGCUCGAAAGCGUGGGGAGCAAACAGGAUUAGAUACCCUUG
Molecule: ribosomal RNA, 415 nt
Filed under: uncultured Brevundimonas sp.
Lineage: Bacteria; Pseudomonadati; Pseudomonadota; Alphaproteobacteria; Caulobacterales; Caulobacteraceae
Description: bacterial SSU rRNA
Rfam family: Bacterial small subunit ribosomal RNA
Source: RNAcentral